Molecule: ribosomal RNA, 253 nt
Filed under: uncultured bacterium
Lineage: Bacteria
Description: partial 16S ribosomal RNA
Rfam family: Bacterial small subunit ribosomal RNA
Source: RNAcentral
UACGUAGGGUGCAAGCGUUAAUCGGAAUUACUGGGCGUAAAGCGUGCGUAGACGGUCAUGUAAGUCGGGUGUGAAAGCCCCGGGCUCAACCUGGGAAUUGCAUUCGAGACUGCAUGGCUAGGGCGCGGAAGAGGGAAGCGGAAUUUCCGGUGUAGCGGUGAAAUGCGUAGAUAUCGGAAGGAACACCAGUGGCGAAAGCGGCUUCCUGGUCCAGCACCGACGUUCAGGCACGAAAGCGUGGGGAGCAAACAGG